This is a long non-coding RNA of Perca flavescens (yellow perch), 339 nucleotides long. RefSeq lists it as uncharacterized. The record is from RefSeq and is a predicted model, not a curated record. Lineage: Eukaryota; Metazoa; Chordata; Actinopteri; Perciformes; Percidae. The transcript has 3 exons.
GCUUUAACAAUGCACCGUCUAACUAGACUGGAUCUCAUCCACAGCAACCACAGGCAGCUCAAUGCCAACAGGGACAACAACAAAAGGAACCACAGGCAGCUCAAUGUCAACAGGGACAGCAACAAAAGCUGUCAGCUGUUUCAGGAAUAGAGUGCGUCCCGCCUCCUCCCCUUCAACCACCGGUCGUUUCACCCACGUACUCCGGGGAUCGUCAGCUGAAUGGCAAUCUUGAUUGGUUCCUGGGCACGUUCAUCACCACCACCAGUGUCUGGACUCCAUUGGGGGAUAUGUUUGGGUUCACUACCCCAUUUAUAACAUAUGGAUUCGAUGGAGUCUAAU